CGGACCCUGCUGCAUCACGGGGCGCUAUCGGCGAGUCGGGUUGUUUGGGAAUGCAGCCCCAAGCGGGCGGUAAAUUCCGUCCAAGGCUAAAUACGCGCGAGAGACCGAUAGCGAACAAGUACCGCGAGGGAAAGAUGAAAAGGACUUUGAAAAGAGAGUUAAAAAGUGCUUGAAAUUGUCGAGAGGGAAGCGGAUGGAGGCCAACGUUGCUUCCCGGCCGGACGUGGAGCGGAGCGUGUACGCUUCGGUCCGCCGCUCGGUCCGGGAGGCGAGUCCUCGUGGAUCGGCGCCGUGGCACAAGCGUGCGCAGCUGGCUGCGCGCGUGCUGCCGCUGCGACGGUCGAGGGUCCAAGCGCGCGCCCCCCUGGAGGGGCGGGUCCUGCGGCGCCUGCGCGCUCGGACGCGGACUGCGUGGGCUUUCCAU
This 424-nucleotide ribosomal RNA is filed under the name Gnetum latifolium. RNAcentral describes it as "eukaryotic LSU rRNA". It matches the Rfam family "Eukaryotic large subunit ribosomal RNA", at positions 230 to 643 of the family's 3401-position model. The record is from RNAcentral. Lineage: Eukaryota; Viridiplantae; Streptophyta; Gnetopsida; Gnetales; Gnetaceae.